AGAGUUUGAUUAUGGCUCAGGAUGAACGCUGGCGGCAUGCCUAAUACAUGCAAGUCGAACGAACUACCUCUAUGACCUUGAAAGUGCUUGCACUGGAUUGUGAUUAGAAUUUGUAGUUAGUGGCGGACGGGUGAGUAACACGUGGGUUACCUGCCACACAGAAUGGAAUAACUAUUGGAAACGAUAGCUAAUACCGUAUAUGACCUUCGGGUUGAAAGGGGCGUUUGCCUCGCUGUGUGAUGGGCCUGCGGCGCAUUAGCUAGUUGGUAAGGUAAAGGCUUACCAAGGCGACGAUGCGUAGCCGGACUGAGAGGUCGAUCGGCCACAUUGGGACUGAGACACGGCCCAAACUUCUACGGGAGGCAGCAGUAGGGAAUUUUCCGCAAUGGACGAAAGUCUGACGGAGCAAUGCCGCGUGAGUGAUGAAGGUUUUCGAAUCGUAAAGCUCUGUUGUAAGGGAAGAACAGCACUAGUAGGAAAUGACUAGUGUGUGACGGUACCUUACCAGAAAGCCACGGCUAACUACGUGCCAGCAGCCGCGGUAAU
RNAcentral lists this ribosomal RNA (546 nucleotides) under uncultured bacterium. RNAcentral describes it as "bacterial SSU rRNA". It matches the Rfam family "Bacterial small subunit ribosomal RNA", at positions 8 to 524 of the family's 1533-position model. The record is from RNAcentral.